UGAAUAUAAAAACAAAACUAAAUAUAGAUAUAAUUGAAACUAUAUUAAAAUCCACACAGAUACUAAAAAAAAUAUAAAAUUUGAAAUAUUUCAAUGAAUGUAUAUGCACUAAAAAUUGAAACAAUCAUUACAUACUUACCCAACUUAAUUUUAAUAUUACGAAAUAAUAUUAUUUCGUUUCCAGUAUAUACUUACAACUAUGAUCAUCAAAAAUAGUUUAUACCAAUUUAAUCAAACUAUAAAUACAAUUAUAUUAAAUUUAAUAAGUUGCUUUACCUACUAGUUAAUUAUAU
This is a non-coding RNA of Cinara cedri, 293 nucleotides long. The record is from the annotation of a GenBank genome assembly. Lineage: Eukaryota; Metazoa; Arthropoda; Insecta; Hemiptera; Aphididae.